Molecule: ribosomal RNA, 2586 nt
Organism: Erysiphe necator (grape powdery mildew)
Lineage: Eukaryota; Fungi; Ascomycota; Leotiomycetes; Helotiales; Erysiphaceae
Rfam family: Eukaryotic large subunit ribosomal RNA
Source: Rfam
CGUAUCUCAAUCAGGUGAGAAUACCCGCUGAACUUAAACAUAUCAAUAAGCGGAGGAAAAGAAAACAAAAGUGAUAUCCUUAGUAAUGGCGAACGAAAAGGAUAAAGCCCAACGCAAAGGUUCAUUUGAAUGUCUUUUCAAAUGAACGAUGCUGCGUGUGAACUAGAUGCUUGAGUUUAAAGUGUUUACUGGCAUGUAUUCAAACGAACGAUCUAAUAGUUGACCAUAGAGGGUUAAAGUCCCGUAUGAAUAUUCUAAGUUCCAGUAAUGCACUAGUACGAAGGCUUUAGUUUGAGAGUAGGGUUGCUUGAGAGUGCAGCUUGAAGUAGGAGGUAUGCAUCUCCUAAGGCUAAAUAUCACUGCGAGACCGAUAGCAAACAAGUAGUGUGAACGAAAGUUGAAAAGAACUUUGAAGAGAGAGUUCAAAGAGCGUGAAACCACUAGUAGGGAAGCGGAGAUUAUCACGAAGUGGCGUUUCAUUUAUGUGAUGCAUAAGUGAUUGUAAGUUAUUAGAUUAUGAUUGAAAUUUAGUUCGCUAAAUGUAGACAUAAUUUAAUUUUUAACAUUCAAUUUGUGUAUUACAAAACAUAAAUGUUGCCAGUAUCAGAUCUUCUUCUAAAACUGCAUAGUACUGUUGAUCGCUUAAUCUUAUUCACUGGGGGAAUCUGGUUAAGAUCGAUAGGUUUAGGUUAUUUAAUGAUUCUGCAAUUUAAUACGCUAGCUACGGUUGGUGGUUAAUUGUAGAUUAAACCUCUAUGUUUAAGUAAAAGGAGAAUAAGAUAGGAUAUGAGUAGAUCGAUAAAUCUCUGCCCCGUCUUGAAACACGGACCAAGGAGCCUAGCGUGUACGCAAGUCUCUUAGACUUAAUUAAAAUAAGCUAGGUGGCAUAACGAAAGCAAUCAAUACUAUUCUUUACAAGUUUAGUAUAGUUAUGAUGAUUAGUACACAAAAUUACUAAUUAGCAAUAACGAUGCGAUUUUUUCAAGUCGUAUUAGAGCGUACACGGUAGUACCCGAAAGAUGGUGAUCUAUGCUUGAGCAAGGUGAAGCCAAAGGAAACUUUGGUGGAGGCCUGCAGCAGUUUUGACGUGCAAAUCGAUUGUCAGACUUGAGUAUAGCGGCGAAAGACUAAUCGAACCAUCUAGUAGCUGGUUUCCUCCGAAAUUUCCCGCAGGAUAGCAAGCGUUAUUUACAGUCAUUUAAACCUGUUACAGUCUCAAUAGAAGGUAACGGGGCGUUAAUUGACCUUGUCCUUUUCUUAAACUCGGUCAAUGGGUUUUUAGAUAUAAUAUACAUAUUAAUCAUAUGUAUAUCUAAUUUAUGUUUAAUGGCAACGCUUAGUGGGCCAUUUUUGGUAAGCAGAACUGGCGAUGCGGGAUGAACCGUACACAGAGUUAAAGUGCCUAAGUUUGAUUUUAAUCAACUAUACGCUAAUCAGAUCCCACUAAAGAUGUUGUUCGCUUAAGACAGUAGGGCGGUGGCCAUGGAAGUCGGCAUCCGCUAAGGAGUGUGUAACAACUCACCUACCGAAGCGUUCAACUCUGAAAAUGGAUGGCGCUCAAGCGUUACACUGAUACUCUGUCGUAGUAGUAAUUCCACAAGUAAAUACACAUACACAAUAUGUGUAUUAUUAAACUUCUACGAGUAGGAGAGAAUGUGAUGAUAGCGUUGAAGUUUUGAACGUAAGUUCGAAUGGAGCUUUCAUUAGUACAGAUCUUGGUGGUAGUAGCAAACAAACAAGUGACAACCUUGUUGACCGACGUGGAUACGGGUUCCAUGGGAACAGUAAUUGGCCAUGGGUUAGUCGAUCCUGAAGAGUGACGUGAAAACGUUUUCGUAAGAAUUCAAUCUUAAUCGAUUGUACUCUGAAAGGGAAUAAGAUUAAUAUUUCUUAACCUUGAUUGUGCUCAGUUUAAAGCGGUAACGCAAUCGAACUCAGAGACAUCAGCCAAAGUCCUGGGUAGAGAUAUCUUCUCUAUUCUAAGGUUUACUUAAUAGUGCCUUGAAUCAGUUUAGCUGGAGACAGGCAUAAAAGUACCGAAUAGCAUUGCGCUUCAAGUAAUGUACAAAUUUAACAAACAGUGUACUUUGGUUGAUCCUUGAAAAUCUGGGGGAGUAUUUUUAAGGCACAACAAGAUCGUACCUAGAUCCGCAACAGGUAUCCUAGGUGAACAGCCUCUGGUCUAUUAGAAGAAUGUAGGUAAGGGAAGUCGGCAAAAAUGAUCUGUAUCUUUGGUACAAAGGUUGGCUCUGGCGUGUUUGUCAAUUCGUGCUUAAAUAAGUAUAUUGGAAUACGCUUUACUUGAACUGAUUUGAAUAGCAAUAUUUAAUUGGCGCUUGUUUAGUAAUUCUAAUAGAACAUUUUUGUGUGAUUGACAAUUAAAACAAUUAGUCAGAACUAUCAUUGACUAUUCGGAAUCUGACUGUUUAAUUAAAACAUAGCAUUGAGAUGACCGGUGACCCGGUGUUGACUCAAUGUGAAUUCUGCCCAGUGCUCUGAAUGUCAACGUGUAGAAAUUCAAUGAAGCGCGGGUAAACGGCGGGAGUAACUAUGACUCUCUUAAGGUAGCCAAAUGCCUCGUCAUCU